RNAcentral lists this ribosomal RNA (396 nucleotides) under uncultured bacterium. Its description in RNAcentral is "partial 16S ribosomal RNA". It matches the Rfam family "Bacterial small subunit ribosomal RNA", at positions 523 to 918 of the family's 1533-position model. The record is from RNAcentral.
AUACGUAGGGAGCAAGCGUUGUCCGGAAUUACUGGGUGUAAAGGGAGCGUAGGCGGGUGCUCAAGUUGAAUGUGAAAUGCAGAGGCUCAACCUCUGAAUUGCGUUCAAAACUGAGUAUCUUGAGUGAAGUAGAGGCAGGCGGAAUUCCCGGUGUAGCGGGGAAAAGCGUAUAUAUCGAGGGGAACACCAGUGGAGAAUGCGGCCUGAUGGGCAUUUACUGAAGCUGAUGCUCGAAAGCAUGGGUAGAAAACAGGAUUAGAUACCCUGGUAGUCCAUGCCGUAAACGAUGAUUACUAGGUGUGGGGGGACUGACCCCUUCCGUGCCGCAGUUAACACAAUAAGUAAUACACCUGGGGAGUACGGCCGCAAGGUUGAAACUCAAAUAAAUUGACGGGG